Molecule: ribosomal RNA, 253 nt
Filed under: uncultured bacterium
Lineage: Bacteria
Description: partial 16S ribosomal RNA
Rfam family: Bacterial small subunit ribosomal RNA
Source: RNAcentral
UACAGAGGGUCCGAGCGUUGUCCGGAAUUACUGGGCGUAAAGAGCUCGCAGGUGGUUUGUCGCGUUGUUCGUGAAAACUCACAGCUUAACUGUGGGCGUGCGGGCGAUACGGGCAGACUGGAGUACUGCAGGGGAGACUGGAAUUCCUGGUGUAGCGGUGGAAUGCGCAGAUAUCAGGAGGAACACCGGUGGCGAAGGCGGGUCUCUGGGCAGUAACUGACGCUGAGGAGCGAAAGCGUGGGGAGCGAACAGG